This 90-nucleotide transfer RNA is filed under the name Phragmitibacter flavus. Its description in RNAcentral is "Verrucobacter flavum tRNA-Ser". It matches the Rfam family "tRNA". Rfam says of the family: Transfer RNA (tRNA) molecules are approximately 80 nucleotides in length. Their secondary structure includes four short double-helical elements and three loops (D, anti-codon, and T loops). Lineage: Bacteria; Pseudomonadati; Verrucomicrobiota; Verrucomicrobiia; Verrucomicrobiales; Verrucomicrobiaceae. The record is from RNAcentral.
GGAGAGAUGGCUGAGUGGUUGAAGGCACCUGAUUCGAAAUCAGACGUAGGGUCAAACCUACCGUGGGUUCAAAUCCCACUCUCUCCGCCA